GAUGAAGAACGUAGCGAAAUGCGAUAAGUAAUGUGAAUUGCAGAAUUCAGUGAAUCAUCGAAUCUUUGAACGCACAUUGCGCCCAUUAGUAUUCUAGUGGGCAUGCCUGUUCGAGCGUCAUUAAGUCCACUUAAGCCCUGCUUAGUGUUGGGAGACUGCUCCAGCGGUGCUACCCUGUAGCUACCCUGCAGCUCCUCAAAGACAGCGGCGGAGUUGUGGUAUCCUCUGAGCUUAGUAACUUGUUCUAGCUUUCGAGUACACCACUUCCCCUGCCGUAAAACCCUUAAUUUUUAAUGGUUGACCUCGGAUCAGGUAGGAAUACCCACUGAACUUAAGCAUAUCAAUAAGCGGAGGA
Molecule: unclassified non-coding RNA, 355 nt
Filed under: soil metagenome
Description: partial contains 5.8S ribosomal RNA, internal transcribed spacer 2, and large subunit ribosomal RNA
Rfam family: 5.8S ribosomal RNA (bases 1-120)
Source: RNAcentral